UGUAUCAAUCCUCUGGCAUCCUCAAUGACUUGCAACAACGCCCUUGUCCUCAAGGGAAAACUGUGGAAACCUCAAUGCAAGAUUCUCUGCAAGCUCCCAUGCAGCUUCUGCACGAGACAAACCUUUCCAUAGAACCAGCACAUGGGUAGCAGCUUGGUUGAAACGCUUAACAAUCCUUCGAUCCAACACUGCCUGGGGUAGAAGCAAAGGCUCCUUCGGCAUCACAG
Molecule: long non-coding RNA, 227 nt
Filed under: Populus trichocarpa (black cottonwood)
Lineage: Eukaryota; Viridiplantae; Streptophyta; Magnoliopsida; Malpighiales; Salicaceae
Description: long non-coding RNA (PTRI_LNC002927)
Source: RNAcentral